GGGUUUCACCAGCGACUCUAAACAAGUAGGUGGAUUAAAUGCUAGUCUCUUUGGAAGAGGCGACACUAUCAAAUUGCGGGAAGAUCCUGUCAGGUCCACAUCACCGCGGCUCACCGAAAGGUGUAGUGCAGCACCAGGCUAACAACCUUGGGUAUGGUAAUAGUAUGUGGAAUAGGGAGAAUCUGCAGCCAAGCCCCUCUCUUGGGGUGCAGUUCACAGGCCAAAUGGUAGUGGGCACUCUGGUGCUUAAGAUAUGGUCGAGUCCCAAUUGAAAAGUUGGGUACAAGUACUCUGAUUGAUUACAUACAAUCUAUGCUGGUUGUAAAUGCAAAUGUUCCGUAGGUGAACCUGC
Molecule: ribosomal RNA, 352 nt
Filed under: uncultured Sebacinales
Lineage: Eukaryota; Fungi; Basidiomycota; Agaricomycetes; Sebacinales
Description: partial 18S ribosomal RNA
Rfam family: Group I catalytic intron (bases 26-281)
About the family: Group I catalytic introns are large self-splicing ribozymes.
Source: RNAcentral